RNAcentral lists this ribosomal RNA (455 nucleotides) under uncultured Anoxybacillus sp. RNAcentral describes it as "bacterial SSU rRNA". It matches the Rfam family "Bacterial small subunit ribosomal RNA", at positions 925 to 1382 of the family's 1533-position model. Lineage: Bacteria; Bacillati; Bacillota; Bacilli; Caryophanales; Anoxybacillaceae. The record is from RNAcentral.
ACAAGCGGUGGAGCAUGUGGUUUAAUUCGAAGCAACGCGAAGAACCUUACCAGGUCUUGACAUCCCGAUGCUAUUCUAGAGAUAGAAAGUUACUUCGGUACAUCGGUGACAGGUGGUGCAUGGUUGUCGUCAGCUCGUGUCGUGAGAUGUUGGGUUAAGUCCCGCAACGAGCGCAACCCUCGACCUUAGUUGCCAGCAUUCAGUUGGGCACUCUAAGGUGACUGCCGGCUAAAAGUCGGAGGAAGGUGGGGAUGACGUCAAAUCAUCAUGCCCCUUAUGACCUGGGCUACACACGUGCUACAAUGGGCGGUACAAAGGGCAGCCACUUAGCGAUAAGGAGCCAAUCCCGUAAAGCCGGUCUCAGUCCGGAUUGGAGUCUGCAACUCGACUCCAUGAAGUUGGAAUCGCUAGUAAUCGCAGAUCAGCACGCUGCGGUGAAUACGUUCCCGGGCCUU